UAACGGGAGGCAGCAGUAGGGAAUCUUCCACAAUGGACGCAAGUCUGAUGGAGCAACGCCGCGUGAGUGAAGAAGGUUUUCGGAUCGUAAAGCUCUGUUGUUGGUGAAGAAGGAUAGGGAUAGUAACUGAUUCUUAUUUGACGGUAAUCAACCAGAAAGUCACGGCUAACUACGUGCCAGCAGCCGCGGUAAUACGUAGGUGGCAAGCGUUGUCCGGAUUUAUUGGGCGUAAAGCGAACGCAGGCGGGAGAACAAGUCAGCUGUGAAAGCCCUCGGCUUAACCGGGGAAGUGCAGCUGAAACUGUUUUUCUUGAGUGCAGAAGAGGAGAGUGGAACUCCAUGUGUAGCGGUGGAAUGCGUANAUAUAUGGAAGAACACCANUGGCGAAGGCGGCUCUCUGGUCUGUAACUGACGCUGAGGUUCNAAAGCAUGGGUAGCGAACAGGAUUANAUACCCUGGUAGUCCAUGCCGUAAACNAUGAGUGCUAANUGUUGGGAGGUUUCCNCCUCUCANUGCUGCANCUAACNCAUUAANCACUCCNCCUGGGGAGUACNACCGCAAGGUAAAAACUCAAAGGAAUUGACGGGGGCCNNCACAANCNGUG
Molecule: ribosomal RNA, 604 nt
Filed under: Lactobacillus sp.B A76
Lineage: Bacteria; Bacillati; Bacillota; Bacilli; Lactobacillales; Lactobacillaceae
Description: partial 16S ribosomal RNA
Rfam family: Bacterial small subunit ribosomal RNA
Source: RNAcentral